GCCGGCCUAGCUCAAUCGGAUAGCAGCGUCAGACUCUUAAUCUGAAGGUUGCGGGUUCGACCCCCGCGGUUGGUU
This is a non-coding RNA of Phellopilus nigrolimitatus, 75 nucleotides long. The record is from the annotation of a GenBank genome assembly. Lineage: Eukaryota; Fungi; Basidiomycota; Agaricomycetes; Hymenochaetales; Hymenochaetaceae.